AACGAACGCUGGCGGCAUGCCUAACACAUGCAAGUCGAACGAGACCUUCGGGUCUAGUGGCGCACGGGUGCGUAACGCGUGGGAACCUGCCCUUAGGUUCGGAAUAACUCCCCGAAAGGGGCGCUAAUACCGGAUAAUGUCUUCGGACCAAAGAUUUAUCGCCUUUGGAUGGGUCCGCGUUGGAUUAGCUAGUUGGUAGGGUAAAAGCCUACCAAGGCGACGAUCCAUAGCUGGUCUGAGAGGAUGAUCAGCCACACUGGGACUGAGACACGGCCCAGACUCCUACGGGAGGCAGCAGUGGGGAAUAGUGGACAAUGGGCGAAAGCCUGAUCCAGCAAUGCCGCGUGAGUGAUGAAGGCCUUAGGGUUGUAAAGCUCUUUUACCCGGGAUGAUAAUGACAGUACCGGGAGAAUAAGCUCCGGCUAACUCCGUG
Molecule: ribosomal RNA, 433 nt
Filed under: uncultured bacterium
Lineage: Bacteria
Description: partial 16S ribosomal RNA
Rfam family: Bacterial small subunit ribosomal RNA
Source: RNAcentral